This is a long non-coding RNA of Aethalodelphis obliquidens (Pacific white-sided dolphin), 233 nucleotides long. RefSeq lists it as uncharacterized. The record is from RefSeq and is a predicted model, not a curated record. NCBI's taxonomy places the organism in Eukaryota, Metazoa, Chordata, Mammalia, Artiodactyla, Delphinidae. The transcript is spliced from 3 exons.
UAUAUGUGAAUCUAAAAAAAAAAACAUAUGAAUGAAUAUAACAAAACAGAAAGAGACUCACAGAUACAGAGAGCAAACUAGUGGUUACCAGUGGUGGGAGGGCGGGGAGAGAGGCAAGAUAGGGGGAGAGAAUUAAGAGGUGCAGACCAUUAUGUAUAAAAUAAAUAAGCUACAAGGAUAUAUUGUACAGCACAGGGAAUACAGCCAAUAUUUUAUAAUAAUUUUAAGUGGAG